Molecule: long non-coding RNA, 5354 nt
Organism: Cavia porcellus (domestic guinea pig)
Lineage: Eukaryota; Metazoa; Chordata; Mammalia; Rodentia; Caviidae
Exons: 4
Source: RefSeq, a predicted model, not a curated record
GCAAUGUAGCCCAGCCUCGCCUUGAACUCCAGGAGUCCCUGUCUCAGCUGGCCAAAUGCUGGGACUGCUGUUUAUGAUUUGAAGUUUUCGACAUUAAUUUUAUAUCCCCUAACCGAUCUGUUUAAUCCCUAAAAAACACAAAAACUAAGAGUGGAACCAAGGCUCUGUGGGAGUGAGGCUCGUAACAGGAGGCCCCGCCAGCCGCUGAUCCACCUUAAGAAGCCUCAGCCUCUCUCUGCUCCGCGCAGACUGUGGCUCCUCCCACCCCCGUGUCAGCUACGGUCUGGGAACGUGGAGGAGGGAGGAGAGAAGCGCUGAAUGGAAAGAUUGGCGCGAGCGCUGAGCAUCUUGGUCCCCCAGUCUACCGGCCCGGGCAGCAGCGUACCAGGGAAGGACGAAAUUGAUUGAAACCCGGAAAUGAGUGUAAAUGGAACUGAAGGAAAACGAGGGAAAUUCGCAGCACCUUUAUACCCCGCACACCAGCUCAUUUCCUGAUAUUCUAGACCAGAUGACAUAAAAGUGCAAACCAAAGUGCUCCUACUGCUUUUAAUGUACUUGUCAUUCCAGUAAUUGAGAAGCAAGAAGAGGAGCAGAUUUGUUAUUUGCAAGAAGAAAAAUGCAACGGACAAAUGAUUACUAGUCUAUAAAAUCCAAGCAUGGUAAAGAUGUUGCUUAUACCAAAAGAGAGGACUGAUGUUAACAUUUUCCAGAAUUUUAAGAAGUCUUUAAGAAAGGAUGCAUUCUGUUGCUAGUAAUGUUAAAUAAGCAUACAAAUAUUAUUUUUGGUCAGUAAUUUAUCCCCUACCCUGACUGAUGUGCUUUGAAAUUUUAUUUUAUUUUUCUUCUCCUCCUCCUCCUUUUUCUUUCUUUUUCUUUUUCUCCUUGAAAUAAAAUGGAUUUGUAAAGAAAAAUAAUUCAUCCCCUUGUAGCACUGUCACUUCCCUUGGAUUAUACCAAAUCAGCCAAGGCAGAACUGGUGGGGGGGGGGGGCACUGACAGUGUAGAACCCAGUACCAACUCUAAAGAAAUAGAUUCCUGGUUUUUUUGUUGUUGUUAUUGUUUGGGGGGGGAGGGGGGACAGGGUCUUGCUAUGUAGCCCAGGCUGGCUUCAAACUCACGGCAAUCCUCUGCCUCAAUCUCUCAAGUGCCAGGAUCACAGGUGUGCAUCACCACACCUAGCACUGCUGUUGUUACUAAUCACAGAUCCAAGGCUCUCAGUAUAUAUGUAAAGUAGUGAUUGUUGUUAUUGUGACACUGGGGAUCAAACUCAAGAGCUUCACCAUGCUAAGCAAGCACUGUCAGCUAUUUUGCCAACUCAGGGGGACUAAAAUAGCUACAAGAACUCUGCAGACCACAGAGGAAAGCAACAGGUUACCCUGCAUUUGGAAUUUAUGGAGCUGGAAAGGGAACGCCAAGUAGGGAAGGGCUGGUAGAAGACCAAAGAUACACUGUGCUUACUGUGCACAGAGAUAAAUUUGCCAUGGUUGGUUCCAGAAAAAAUCACCUUAUGUAGAAAAGAUGGUUGCCUGGCAUGGUGACCCACAUUUGUAAUCCCAGCACUCCGGAGGCUGAGGUAGGAGGAUCACUGUGAGUUCAGUUCAAGCCCAGUCUGGGCUACAAAGUGAGUUCCAGGCUAGCCUAAUUGCAUAGCAAAACUGUCUCAGGAAGAUGAAAAGAGAAAAAAGAAGUCUGUAAUUGUGGAUCCUGGCAGGAGACGAUCUUCUUGGUACUCCAGGGAGGGCUCCAUAGAUGAGACCACUAAGGUCGCCACCACCCACCAGAAAGUGAGCGGUGGAGACUGGAUGGCUUGAGCCUGAGAACACACUGGCUGCCUGUCACCUGGACCUGGAGAGCUCCUGUUCUCCACACCUCAGCAGGCAUCAGCAGCCACGGAACUUGUGCCUGGGCACCGGCAGCCCACUGCAUGUGGAGACAAAGGUCACCCAUGGCCACAAGGUGCAUAGUGACAGGAGGGCAGCCAGGAGAAUGGCCUGGCCUCACUUCUACUUUCUCAGACAUUUAUUUUUGUUGGUGGUAGAGGGAGUUCUCUUUUUUUUUUUUUUUUUGAGACAAGGUCUCACUAUGUAAUUCACACUGAUCUUACAUUUACUCUGUACUCCAGACUGGCCUCGACUCACAGUGAUCCUUCUGCCUCAGCCUCCAGAGUGCUAGGAUUACAGACCCACGCCACUAUACCCUUUCAGUCAGUUACUGAUCCAUCCUAAUUUACAUCUAGAGGCCCAACUGCAAAGAAACUUGCAAGACAGUUUUCUGUUUUCCACACUUAGCAGUACAGAAAAGCAUAUGUAGACACAGAGAGAAGACUACUGAGAAGAAUUCCUGGGCGCACACAGAUACUAUAGAAUGAUAAACUCAAGAGUACAUUCAUACCUUAUGACAGAGCCAUUCCAUGCCAACCAGAAAAGUGUUACUCUUUCCAGGUUUCAUCACAGAAUUCAUAUCAAAAUUAUUAAUGAAAUCUAAACAGCAAAAGAAGAACGUGGAUCAGCCAUAUCCACAAAUCUAUAAGAACCACAUUUUAAAUUUUCCUUGCUAACCCAGCAUUGUAAUGCAUGCCUGUGAUCCCAGCACUUGGGAAGCUGAGGCAAGAGGAUUGCCAUGAAUUUGAGUUCAGUGCCAGCCUAAGCUACAAAGUGAGUUCAAAGCCAGCCUGAAUCUGAAUCUCACAGAAAGAUCUUGUCUCAAAAAACAAACCAACCAAAAACACUCGGAAUUUAAGGAUUAAAUAACCAACGUCAAAAUCUAUAGUAUGUUGCCCUUUACUUCCUGGUUGAACACUCUUCCAGUGUGACAGGGUGAGGACACUGAGGUGUUAGCAGCAGGGAAGAAGCACUGUUUGGAGGCCAGCCUGCUUAGGAAUUGCUACACAGUCUUGGAGAAGUUAUUUUGCCACUGGGACUUCACUUACUACUAAUUAAACUUAGUACUAUCAAUGAGCAUUUAAGAAGGAAGAAAAAUAUAGAAGAAACACUUUCUAAAAUGAACAUAUAGCCUUGCAUAUGCCUGUAAUCCCAGUACUUAGUAGGCUGAGGCAAGGAGAUCCCUUGCUACAAGUUCAAGGCCAGCCUGAACUACAUAGUAAGACCCUGUCUCAGAAAAUAAAUAAAAUGAACAAGUAUUGUUUCUUGGGUAACAGGAAUAGAAUUCAAGACCUUGUGCCAGGUAGGUGCUGUGCAGCUGAGGUAUAUCCUUGGACCCAAAAUGAAAGUGUAAAAAAAAAUGUUAUUCGUUAAAAAUUAAGAAAUUUUGCGACUCAUGGUGACAUACACUGAUAAUCCCAGUGCUCUGGGAGACUGAGUCAGGAGAAUGACCAAGUUUGAGUCCAGCCUGCGGAACUUCGUGAUUUAGUGAAACCUUGUCUCUAAAUAAAAAUGUAGUUCAGUGUGAAGAUCUUGGCUUCAAUCCCCAUCACCCCCGCACCCCUGCCCCCACCCCCAAAAAGACAUUAGAUUAAUAGAUUUCGUAGUUGCCUUAUAAUUUCACACAUCUAUUAUUUAACCUUGUAACCUUCUGGUCCAUUUUUUUCCUUGAAGACUAUUAUAAUAAAUUUAAACCUGGAUUACAGCUUAUAGUCUGUACCUAUGCCAGUUGGUCCUAGUCAAUGACCCAGAUUCUUCCCCCAUGCUGGGGAUAGAAACCAAGGCCCAUGCUAGGCAAUGGCUCUGCCACUGAGCUAAAGCCCCUGCAGCCAGCUUUAAGAAGUGCUGUUAGUCUGGUAUUCAUCUUUCAUGCCUUUUUGUUGUUGUUGUUUCAUUUGUUUUGUUUUGGGUUGUUACAGUAUGGGGACUGAACACAGAACCUUGGCACUGGAGCUGCAUCCCAGAUCAUCUGUGUACUGGCUCAUUGAUUUAUUUAUUUGCUGAGAUGAGGUUUCACUAUGUACUUCAGGCUAACUUGAACUCACUAUGUAGCCCAGGCUGGCCCCAAAUUUGCAGUACUCAGGACUAGGGAUAUAGCUCAGUGGCAUAAAUGCCUGCCUGGCUAGUGCAAGGUCCUGAGUUUGAUUUCUGGUACUAAAUUUGCAGUGAUGCUUACCUCAGCUUCCUAAGGGCUGGAGUGACAGGUAUCUGCCACCAGCACUCAAAGCCCGCCCCCCUUCUUUCUUUUUUCUCUCUUUUGGACAUAGACUCACUAAACUGCCCAAUCUGGGCUUGCCUUUGUGAUCCUCCUGCCUCAGCCUCCCAGAGCGCUUGGACUACAGAAAUAGAUGAGUACACUGGCCUCCCUGAAAGGACUGCACUCCUCUGUGUGCCAGCCUGUGUGAGAUACUUCACAGGUUCAGUCCCUGCUUGGGAGACAACACCCUGGACACCGGACUACCGUGGAUCUAUCCCUGAAGGUCCCACCUCCAGGAAGACUGAGGGAGGUGACCCCUCACUCUACCCGUGGGAGUCCCAGGAGGAUGUUAAGCCCCUCCUGACUCGGAAACUGUCUGGAAGCAGACUCCUGCCCCAGCUGUCUUCACAGCUCAGCGCUGUACUCUGGUUUCCCUGUCAGCCUCGUGUCAAGCAGAGUUCCCACGCCAUGACCUCUGCUUCCCGCUGCCUCUUAGACUGUGAACUCCUGAGGGCAGAAAAAUCUCUCAGGUCUCCGUAGCGUCUGCCAGUGCCUAAUGCAGAGGUUAUAAAAUUACUGUUGUUUAAGGUUUUUUUUGUUCUUGUUUUGUUUUGUUUUGUUUUGUUUUGUUUUGUUUUGAGGCAGAGUCUUGCUAUGUAGUUCAAGCUGGUCUUGAACUCACUAAGUACCCCAGGCUGACAUCCAACUGGUGACAGUCUUCCUGCCUCAGCCUCCUGAGUGUGUACAUUUAUAGUAACAUGGAGAAGGCAAACAAGGAUCAGUGUUUUUGUUUUAUGGUAUCUAGGACCUUUAUAUUGCGCUACAUUUACAGUCCUUUUAAAAUAUUUUUUCACUAUUUAAAUUUUGAGACAGGGCUUAGCUAAAUUUGCUACACAGGAGCCAGUUGCAGCCCUGAGAUCUGGGAAGAGAACCAAAAAGAAAGCCAACCCCUUCCUGUGAGCCAGUGGCGGUGUGGGCCAGGCUACCCCCUUCCUGUGGGACUGAGAGACAGGAGGUACCAAUCCCCAUUGUUGAUUUCCUGUUACCUUGUUUUGAAGUCCUGCAUCACUUUCACUGUUUUGUUUUCAUUGGCUUUAUUCUGUUUUAUUUUGUUUCAUUUUAUUCUGUUAAAAAUAGAAACAAAUAAAUUUGUUCAAUUGCCUGGGCAGGGGGUGGGGAUUUAGCUCAGCAGCACAGUGCCUGCCUUGCAAGCACAAGGUCCCGAGUUUGAUUCCUGGUACCAAAAAUAAAAAUAAAAAUAAAAAUAACAAAAUAAA